This 453-nucleotide ribosomal RNA is filed under the name uncultured bacterium. RNAcentral's name for it is "partial 16S ribosomal RNA". It matches the Rfam family "Bacterial small subunit ribosomal RNA", at positions 28 to 506 of the family's 1533-position model. The record is from RNAcentral.
GAUGAACGCUGACAGCAUGCUUAACACAUGCAAGUCUACUUGAACUUCGGUUUGGGUGGCGGACGGGUGAGUAACGCGUAAAGAACUUGCCCCACAGUUAGGGACAACAUUUGGAAACGAAUGCUAAUACCUGAUAUUAUGUUUUUAGGGAAUACUAAAAUUAUGAAAGCUAUAUGCGCUGUGAGAGAGCUUUGCGUCCCAUUAGAUAGUUGGAGAGGUAACGGCUCACCAAGGCGAUGAUGGGUAGCCGGCCUGAGGGGGUGAACGGCCACCAGAAUACUGAGACACGGCGCUUACUCCUACGACAGGAGGCAGUAGGGGAGAUUAGUCGACAAACGACAAGACUGAACCAGCGCAACUCUGUGCGCGAUGACGAGUUCCUGAGGGUGUAGUGCUUUCCGAUGCGAAGUGACAAAUGACGUAACCGACAGAAGAGGUGACGGUAACAUACUC